This 137-nucleotide non-coding RNA is filed under the name Streptomyces mangrovisoli. Lineage: Bacteria; Bacillati; Actinomycetota; Actinomycetes; Kitasatosporales; Streptomycetaceae. The record is from RNAcentral.
AAGAUGUAUGCUCAUGCUCGCUGUCGUCGCAGGGGAAUCCGGUGCGAAUCCGGAACUGUCCCGCAACGGUGUACCCCAGCGUGUUCGCGCACGUAUGGGGCGUCAGUCCGAGGACCUGCCGACAGCACGCCCGGCCG